UUAAUACGUCGAAUCCCCAG
RNAcentral lists this non-coding RNA (20 nucleotides) under Arabidopsis thaliana (thale cress). Lineage: Eukaryota; Viridiplantae; Streptophyta; Magnoliopsida; Brassicales; Brassicaceae. The record is from RNAcentral.